GCCGAGGUAGCUCAGUUGGUAGAGCAGCUGAUUCGUAAUCAGCAGGUCGUCAGUUCGAAUCUGAUCCUCGGCU
This 73-nucleotide transfer RNA is filed under the name Candidatus Zixiibacteriota bacterium. RNAcentral describes it as "tRNA-Thr". It matches the Rfam family "tRNA". From Rfam's summary of the family: Transfer RNA (tRNA) molecules are approximately 80 nucleotides in length. Their secondary structure includes four short double-helical elements and three loops (D, anti-codon, and T loops). The record is from RNAcentral. Lineage: Bacteria; Pseudomonadati; Candidatus Zixiibacteriota.